This 689-nucleotide ribosomal RNA is filed under the name uncultured Microlunatus sp. Its description in RNAcentral is "bacterial SSU rRNA". It matches the Rfam family "Bacterial small subunit ribosomal RNA", at positions 52 to 756 of the family's 1533-position model. The record is from RNAcentral. Lineage: Bacteria; Bacillati; Actinomycetota; Actinomycetes; Propionibacteriales; Propionibacteriaceae.
UACCAUGCAGUCGAACGGUAAGGCUCCUUCGGGAGUGCCUUAGUGGCGAACGGGUGAGUAACACGUGAGCACCUGCCCUUGACUCUGGAAUAACAGCUGGAAACAGCUGCUAAUACCGGAUAUGACCUCAUCCUACAUCUGAUGAGGUGGAAAGUUCUGGCGGUCAUGGAUGGGCUCGCGGCCUAUCAUCUUGUUGGUGAGGUAACGGCUCACCAAGGCUUCGACGGGUAGCCGGCCUGAGAGGGCGACCGGCCACCCUGGGACUGAGAUACCGCCCACACUCCUACUGGAGGCAGCAGUGGGGAAUAUUGCACAAUGGGCGAAAGCCUGAUGCAGCAACGCCGCGUGCGGGAUGACGGCCUUCGGGUUGUAAACCGCUUUCAUCUUCGACGAAGCGCAAGUGACGGUACUAGCAGAAAAACGACCGGCCAUCUACGUGCCAACACCCGCGGUGAUACAUAUGGUCCGAGCGUUGUCCAGAAUUAUUGGGCGUAAAGGGCUUGUAUGCAGUUUGUCGCGUCAGAAGUGAAAACUCAGGGCUUAACCCUGAGCCUGCUUCCGAUACGGGCUAACUAGAGGGAUGCAGGAGAGAACGGAAUUCCUGGUGGAGCGGUGGAAUGCGCAGAUAUCAAAAAAGAACACCUGUGGCGAACGAGGUUCUCUGGUGUUUUUCUGACUCUGACAAGCGA